This 472-nucleotide ribosomal RNA is filed under the name Escherichia coli. RNAcentral describes it as "partial 23S ribosomal RNA". It matches the Rfam family "Bacterial large subunit ribosomal RNA", at positions 2142 to 2613 of the family's 2925-position model. Lineage: Bacteria; Pseudomonadati; Pseudomonadota; Gammaproteobacteria; Enterobacterales; Enterobacteriaceae. The record is from RNAcentral.
GAUAGGUGGGAGACUGUGAAGCGCUCACGCCAGUGAGUGUGGAGUCGUUGUUGAAAUACCACUCUGAUCGUAUUGGACCUCUAACCUCGGACCAUGAUCUGGUUCAGGGACAGUGCCUGGUGGGUAGUUUAACUGGGGCGGUUGCCUCCCAAAAUGUAACGGAGGCGCCCAAAGGUUCCCUCAGCCUGGUUGGCAAUCAGGUGUCGAGUGCAAGUGCACAAGGGAGCUUGACUGUGAGACUGACAGGUCGAGCAGGGACGAAAGUCGGGACUAGUGAUCCGGCACCGGCAAGUGGAAGCGGUGUCGCUCAACGGAUAAAAGGUACCCCGGGGAUAACAGGCUGAUCUUCCCCAAGAGUCCAUAUCGACGGGAUGGUUUGGCACCUCGAUGUCGGCUCGUCGCAUCCUGGGGCUGGAGUAGGUCCCAAGGGUUGGGCUGUUCGCCCAUUAAAGCGGCACGCGAGCUGGGUUUA